GGGGUUGUGGCUCAGCGGUAGAGUGCUCACCUAGCACAUGCGAGCACAUGCGAGGCCCUGGGUUCAAUCCUCAGCACCACA
Molecule: transfer RNA, 81 nt
Filed under: Marmota monax (woodchuck)
Lineage: Eukaryota; Metazoa; Chordata; Mammalia; Rodentia; Sciuridae
Description: tRNA.Ala
Source: RNAcentral